Molecule: ribosomal RNA, 654 nt
Filed under: uncultured marine group I thaumarchaeote
Lineage: Archaea; Thermoproteati; Nitrososphaerota
Description: bacterial SSU rRNA
Rfam family: Archaeal small subunit ribosomal RNA
Source: RNAcentral
UUCUGGUUGAUCCUGCCGGACCUGACUGCUAUCGGAUUGAUACUAAGCCAUGCGAGUCUUUGCAGUAAUGCAAGGCAUACGGCUCAGUAACACGUAGUCAACUUACCCUAUGGACGAGGAUAAUCUCGGGAAACUGAGCAUAAUACUCGAUAGAUCAUAAUGCCUGGAAUGGUUUAUGGUUGAAAUGAUUCGUCGCCAUAGGAUGGGACUGCGGCCUAUCAGCUUGUUGGUGAGGUAAUGGCCCACCAAGGCGAUUACAGGUACGGGCUCUGAGAGGAGAAGCCCGGAGAUGGGUACUGAGACAAGGACCCAGGCCCUAUGGGGCGCAGCAGGCGAGAAAACUUUGCAAUGUGCGAAAGCACGACAAGGUUAAUCCGAGUGAUUUCUGCUAAAGAAAUCUUUUGCAAGUCAUAAAACCACUAGUGAAUAAGGGGUGGGCAAGUUCUGGUGUCAGCCGCCGCGGUAAAACCAGCACCUCAAGUGGUCAGGAGGAUUAUUGGGCCUAAAGCAUCCGUAGCCGGCUCUGUAAGUUUUCGGUUAAAUCCAUGUGCUCAACGCAUGGGCUGCCGAAAAUACUGCAUAGCUAGGGAGUGGGAGAGGUAGACGGUACUCGGUAGGAAGGGGUAAAAUCCUUUGAUCUAUCGAUGACCACCU